UGUGGAGCUCGCCGCCGUCGGAAUCACGAGCUGAAGUGGGGAAGGAGGCCAUCUUCCCUAUGUUGUUGCAGUCACCAGUCACCAUGCUGUUACUGCUUUUCUUUUUCCUUAAUUGCUGGACUGUUGAAGCUACAACUGGUUCUGUAGUGGCUUGUUGCUGCCACCAAUGCUGAUUUAUGGUAGCAUGAUCAGGCUACGAUGUUGAGGCUGCAGUCCAGCCUACUGUCUCGCCAAAAUUCUGCCUUCGGUUUCUUUUAAUUGCGACAUUAAGGAAUCGGAGGAAGGAGUAUUGUGAAGAGUUAUACUGCAUUUUUGGUUUAUAUGAUAUUGUAUUGAUUAGAUAAUUUUUCUUCCCUCGUCUCUGUUAUUACAAUCUUGUAAGAGGGAUAGGAGUUGUUUGUUUUAUAUGUAUAUUACAUUAUAAGCUAUUAUGUAAGAAGUCUUGUAUGUGAAUCCAUGCCUGUUUGUUCUUUUUUAAGA
Molecule: non-coding RNA, 480 nt
Organism: Arachis ipaensis
Lineage: Eukaryota; Viridiplantae; Streptophyta; Magnoliopsida; Fabales; Fabaceae
Source: RefSeq, a predicted model, not a curated record